Long non-coding RNA from Cyprinus carpio (common carp), 1098 nucleotides. RefSeq lists it as uncharacterized. Lineage: Eukaryota; Metazoa; Chordata; Actinopteri; Cypriniformes; Cyprinidae. The transcript is spliced from 3 exons. The record is from RefSeq and is a predicted model, not a curated record.
GAAACGGGGCGGCAAUUCAGCUGAUAAGUAGCAAAACCUUCCAUCUCUCACUGUUGUUUUUACUGCUUUCAGCAAAGUUGGAGCGGACCUCUUUUUGACUUCUCCAGGCACUAUUUACCAUCUGACUAGGCUGUUCGUGAACACAGAAAAUCGAGAGAUGUUGUGACAACCUGGACAGAAGUCAGCUCCAAAUCCAUUCUCAACACCAGACUUCUCAUUCACAAGGAUUCCUCUCUUAAAAACCAAUAAUUUUUUUUUUUUUAUUUUUUUUCAGAAAUCACUUUUUUUUUAUUGCGCCUUCCAAGUAAAAUCAAUCAAACUGCAGUAGGGUUGUAUUGAUUAAGAUUAAGAUUAUUCAGAUGACAAUGUAGAUGCCAGAAAAAGGUUGAUGUUGUUGUGAUCAUAGAUUGUAUGUGAUUACAGGCAAUACAGUACAUGGUUUUUCCCUCACCAUUGUAACACACUACUUUUGCAAGGUUCCGUGAAAAUGUUUCAGCUUUUAUUUUCCUUUUACACCCUGAAGAUAUCACAGGUUCAUCAACUUCAUCUAAAUUAUCCAUCCCCGAUCGCAUUUAGUCAACUUUGAAAAAUUCCUCUCAGCUAGCACGUCUUUUUAAAGUGAAAGUAGCUUUGUCACCUGACCUAAAUACAGUGUGCUGAUUCACUAAAACUGAUUUAUCGGCUUCUAAACAAAAACAACAAGGGCGCUUGUCGGCUCCUGCAGUGAAACAUUAACUCGCGAUGCCUUGAAAGUGGACAAUACUGGAUUUUUUGACCAAACAUAUUUAGGGUUCAGAUUGCGCUAUACGUGGAGAAUAAUGCAAUUUUUUUUUAAGGGCUGUUUAUCAGUUUUUGCAAAUGAACUAUAUAUAUAAAUAUAUAUAUUUUAAUUUUUUUUUUUUCAAGGCAUCUAAAAGCCAUUUCACACUUGCCAUACUCCAACAGGGUGAACGCACUGACCAAACAAAACAAAAUGUUGGCAGUGUGAAGUGACCAUAAUGCAGUAUGUUAGGUGUGAGAUUCAUUAAACUUGGUAUACUAUAUUAAAUGACAUUUGCAAUACAGGAAGACAGUUUUUUAUUUGUUUGAAAUUCUAUA